Molecule: ribosomal RNA, 768 nt
Filed under: uncultured archaeon
Lineage: Archaea
Description: bacterial SSU rRNA
Rfam family: Archaeal small subunit ribosomal RNA
Source: RNAcentral
GUAGCUGGCCACGCAAGUCCAUCGGGAAAUCUACUCGCUCAACGAGUAGGCGUCCGGUGGAAACUGCAUGGCUUGGGACCGGAAGAUCCAGAGGGUACGUCUGGGGUAGGAGUGAAAUCCUGUAAUCCGAGACGGACCACCGGUGGCGAAAGCGCUCUGGAAAGACGGAUCCGACGGUGAGGGACGAAAGCUCGGGUCACGAACCGGAUUAGAUACCCGGGUAGUCCGAGCUGUAAACGAUGUCUGCUAGGUGUGGCACAGGCUACGAGCCUGUGCUGUGCCGUAGGGAAGCCGUGAAGCAGACCGCCUGGGAAGUACGUCUGCAAGGAUGAAACUUAAAGGAAUUGGCGGGGGAGCACUACAACCGGAGGAGCCUGCGGUUUAAUUGGACUCAACGCCGGACAUCUCACCAGCAUCGACAGUGUGCAGUGAAAGUCAGUGUGAUGAGCUUACUGGAGCCACUGAGAGGAGGUGCAUGGCCGCCGUCAGCUCGUACCGUGAGGCGUCCUGUUAAGUCAGGCAACGAGCGAGACCCGCACCCUUAAUUGCCAGCAACACCCUUGAGGUGGUUGGGUACAUUAAGAGGACUGCCAGUGCCAAACUGGAGGAAGGAACGGGCAACGGUAGGUCAGUAUGCCCCGAAUGUGCUGGGCUACACGCGGGCUACAAUGGUCGAGACAGUGGGAUGCUACGCCGAAAGGCGACGCUAAUCUCCGAAACUCGAUCGUAGUUCGGAUUGCGGGCUGAAACUCGCCCGCAUGAAGCUGG